RNAcentral lists this ribosomal RNA (433 nucleotides) under uncultured bacterium. RNAcentral describes it as "partial 16S ribosomal RNA". It matches the Rfam family "Bacterial small subunit ribosomal RNA", at positions 29 to 507 of the family's 1533-position model. The record is from RNAcentral.
AACGAACGCUGGCGGCAUGCCUAACACAUGCAAGUCGAACGAGACCUUCGGGUCUAGUGGCGCACGGGUGCGUAACGCGUGGGAACCUGCCCUUAGGUUCGGAAUAACUCCCCGAAAGGGGUGCUAAUACCGGAUAAUGUCUUCGGACCAAAGAUUUAUCGCCUUUGGAUGGGCCCGCGUUGUAUUAGCUAGUUGGUAGGGUAAAAGCCUACCAAGGCGACGAUCCAUAGCUGGUCUGAGAGGAUGCUCAGCCACACUGGGACUGAGACACGGCCCAGACUCCUACGGGAGGCAGCAGUGGGGAAUAUUGGACAAUGGGCGAAAGCCUGAUCCAGCAAUGCCGCGUGAGUGAUGAAGGCCUUAGGGUUGUAAAGCUCUUUUACACGGGAUGAUAAUGACAGUACCGGGAGAAUAAGCUCCGGCUAACUCCGUG